This 1367-nucleotide long non-coding RNA is filed under the name Cucumis sativus (cucumber). RNAcentral describes it as "long non-coding RNA (CSAT_LNC002685)". The record is from RNAcentral. Lineage: Eukaryota; Viridiplantae; Streptophyta; Magnoliopsida; Cucurbitales; Cucurbitaceae.
UCCAAAAUAGCAAAUUUAACAAAAUAUUUACAAUUUAUAGUAAAAUUUUCAGAUUCAAUCACUAAUAGACACUAAUAGACAUUAAUAGACACUAAUAUUGUGAUUGAUAGAAGGUGGUAGAGGAAAAGGUUAAUUGGGUUGGUGUUGAAAAAGAGUGAAAUGUGAUUUGCAUAGAAACAUCCAGAUGCUUGGCUGCCGAUACUCUGUGUUUACCAAAAGCAUUCCAAAAUGCCAUAAAUCUGAAUGUCGGUGGAAAGAUCCGUACCGACGAAAUAUAAAUUCAAUUCAUUAUCUCUACCCUACACGUGGCAUCCAAUCUCCAGCCUUGGCCCAGCCUGGCACACUCUCCCCCACUUACUAAAUUUUAGCCACACCAUUCUCCUUUCCACCAUAAUGCCUUCCCACUCUUUAUCUUAUUACUAAAUAUGCCAUUCCAGAGUGUUUUCCUCUUUUCUUUUUUUUUUUUCCUUUUUUUUCCUUUUUUUUCUUUUUAUCUUUUCUUAUAUUACUUAGUUUUCCCCAUUUCCCGGGUCAAACGCAACUGACACUCUCUAAUAUAAUAAUACUAUUUAAUCAAUAUCAUUAAUUCGCUCACCUCCUAAAUUACAUAUUUUAUCCUACCAAAAUUUUCUUUUUAUUUUCAUGCUUCCAUAUAAAUCUUUUUUAUUAAAGCUUUAUAAAUCAUUAAAUUUUAACCUUUUCUUUUUAUUUAUAAAUAAAUAAAUAAAUAAAUUUAUAAUUCAGGAGAAUCAAAGAAGUGAGGUGUCACCUAUGAAUAUUUUGGUGCAUUAUCAUAUUUUUAGCUAUGUUCUAAUUAGAGAUUAUUCUAUUUAUUAUUCAAAUAAAAAUAUAAUGCCUUUUUAAUUGAAUUAUUAUGCAAACUUUUUUUUUUUUAUAAUUACAAAACUGUUAAUAAAUAUUACAAAAUUUAAUAUUUUACUAUCUAUAGAGUUUAUUUGGAUAUAUUUGAAGUAUAUAAAAUUGAUACUCACUGCCAUUCAAUUCAAUUCUAUUCUAUUCCCUUCCAUGUUUCACUUUCAGGUAAUCAAUCAAUUAACUUUAUUUUUGUAAUUUGAACCACACUUUGUCAAAAUGAUGCAGCCCAGAUGUAAAUUUCUCAUCCAUAAAUAAAAAUAAAUUAUAUAUUUGGAUCUAAAAUAAUACCCUAUUCAUCUACUUCAUUGCCCUAAUUCUUUUCAUAAUGAAAUAGAGUGCUAUACACAAAUAGAAUUUAAACUAUACAAAAUAAUUUUCACAUGCCAAAUUCUUACCUAAUUUUUCAUUUUAAAACAAACUAUACCCACCAUGCCUCCAAUCUGAUGGAAGGACUAAAAAAAAUAAGAACUAAAUUGAAUGAUAAGGAAAAU